CAUUAGGACUCCACUUGUGGGUCCCUGUGAACUGUAUGCCUGAAGAGGUCCUCAACUCUGGUGAGUGCUGUAAACCAGUGGGGAAUCAACAGCACUUUAACUGAAAACCUGAUAAUGGUGAGGCUCUCAUCUGUCAAAUUCCCUGUAUCUGCCACGUCAGAAAGGAUGAGAAGGCUGGCCCCUGAGGCCCCAGGAACUGGCACUAGCCUGAGGGGACAACAUGGUGGAAUAGGUGCUCCGAGAAUGUCCCAACUCUCGCUGGAACUGGCACUAGCCUGAGGGGACAUCUGCACAGCACACAGGGAAAAUCUGGAAGGUUAUCUGCUAAACCUGCAUCUCCAAAGCCAGACCCCAAGCCUAAGAAGGCCCCUGCCAAGAAAGGAGAGAAAGUACCCAAAGGGAGAAAGGGGAAAGCUGAUUCUGACGAGGAUGGGAAUAAUCCUGCAGAA
Erinaceus europaeus (western European hedgehog) is the source of this 449-nucleotide long non-coding RNA. RefSeq lists it as uncharacterized. Lineage: Eukaryota; Metazoa; Chordata; Mammalia; Eulipotyphla; Erinaceidae. The transcript is spliced from 3 exons. The record is from RefSeq and is a predicted model, not a curated record.